Molecule: ribosomal RNA, 448 nt
Filed under: uncultured microorganism
Description: bacterial SSU rRNA
Rfam family: Bacterial small subunit ribosomal RNA
Source: RNAcentral
GAGUUUGAUCAUGGCUCAGGAUGAACGCUGGCGGCGUGCCUAACACAUGCAAGUCGAACGGAGUUUAUGAGGAAGAAGCUUCGGCGGAAUUCUUAUAAACUUAGUGGCGGACGGGUGAGUAACACGUGGAGAACCUGGCCUCUUACCGGGGACAGCAGUUGGAAACGACUGAUAAUACCGCAUAAGCGCACGAGACCGCAUGGUCCUGUGUGAAAAGAUUUAUCGGUAAGAGAUGGCUCCGCGUCUGAUUAGCCAGUUGGCGGGGUAACGGCCCACCAAAGCGACGAUCAGUAGCCGGUCUGAGAGGGUGAACGGCCACAUUGGGACUGAGACACGGCCCAGACUCCUACGGGAGGCGGCAGUGGGGGAUAUUGCACAAUGGAGGAAACUCUGAUGCAGCGACGCCGCGUGAGUGAAGAAGUAUUCGGUAUGUAAAGCUCUAUCAGCA